GACAGAGGGUGCAAACGUUGUUCGGAAUUACUGGGCGUAAGCGCGUGUAGGCGGCUCGGCAAGUCGGGUGUGAAAGCCCUGGGCUUAACCUGGGAAUUGCAUUCGAGACUGAAUAGCUAGGGUACGGUAGAGGGAAGUGGAAUUUCCGGUGUAGCGGUGAAAUGCGUAGAUAUCGGAAGGAACAUCAGUGGCGAAAGCGACUUCCUGGACCAGUACCGACGUUCAGGCACGAAAGCGUGGGGAGCAAACAGG
Molecule: ribosomal RNA, 252 nt
Filed under: uncultured bacterium
Lineage: Bacteria
Description: partial 16S ribosomal RNA
Rfam family: Bacterial small subunit ribosomal RNA
Source: RNAcentral